UUUUAUGGAGAGUUUGAUCCUGGCUCAGAGUGAACGCUGGCGGCGUGCCUAAUACAUGCAAGUCGAACGAUGAAGCUUCUAGCUUGCUAGAAUGCUGAUUAGUGGCGCACGGGUGAGUAACGCAUAGGUCAUGUGCCUCUUAGUUUGGGAUAGCCAUUGGAAACGAUGAUUAAUACCAGAUACUCCCUACGGGGGAAAGAUUUAUCGCUAAGAGAUCAGCCUAUGUCCUAUCAGCUUGUUGGUAAGGUAAUGGCUUACCAAGGCUAUGACGGGUAUCCGGCCUGAGAGGGUGAACGGACACACUGGAACUGAGACACGGUCCAGACUCCUACGGGAGGCAGCAGUAGGGAAUAUUGCUCAAUGGGGGAAACCCUGAAGCAGCAACGCCGCGUGGAGGAUGAAGGUUUUAGGAUUGUAAACUCCUUUUGUUAGAGAAGAUAAUGACGGUAUCUAACGAAUAAGCACCGGCUAACUCCGUGCCAGCAGCCGCGGUAAUACGGAGGGUGCAAGCGUUACUCGGAAUCACUGGGCGUAAAGAGCGCGUAGGCGGGAUAGUCAGUCAGGUGUGAAAUCCUAUGGCUUAACCAUAGAACUGCAUUUGAAACUACUAUUCUAGAGUGUGGGAGAGGUAGGUGGAAUUCUUGGUGUAGGGGUAAAAUCCGUAGAGAUCAAGAGGAAUACUCAUUGCGAAGGCGACCUGCUGGAACAUUACUGACGCUGAUUGCGCGAAAGCGUGGGGAGCAAACAGGAUUAGAUACCCUGGUAGUCCACGCCCUAAACGAUGGAUGCUAGUUGUUGGAGGGCUUAGUCUCUCCAGUAAUGCAGCUAACGCAUUAAGCAUCCCGCCUGGGGAGUACGGUCGCAAGAUUAAAACUCAAAGGAAUAGACGGGGACCCGCACAAGCGGUGGAGCAUGUGGUUUAAUUCGAAGAUACACGAAGAACCUUACCUAGGCUUGACAUUGAGAGAAUCCGCUAGAAAUAGUGGAAUGUCUAGCUUGCUAGACCUUGAAAACAGGUGCUGCACGGCUGUCGUCAGCUCGUGUCGUGAGAUGUUGGGUUAAGUCCCGCAACGAGCGCAACCCCCUUUCUUAGUUGCUAACAGGUCAUGCUGAGAACUCUAAGGAUACUGCCUCCGUAAGGAGGAGGAAGGUGGGGACGACGUCAAGUCAUCAUGGCCCUUACGCCUAGGGCUACACACGUGCUACAAUGGGGUGCACAAAGAGAAGCAAUACUGCGAAGUGGAGCCAAUCUUCAAAACGCCUCUCAGUUCGGAUUGUAGGCUGCAACUCGCCUGCAUGAAGCUGGAAUCGCUAGUAAUCGCAAAUCAGCCAUGUUGCGGUGAAUACGUUCCCGGGUCUUGUACUCACCGCCCGUCACACCAUGGGAGUUGUGUUUGCCUUAAGUCAGGAUGCUAAAUUGGCUACUGCCCACGGCACACACAGCGACUGGGGUGAAGUCGUAACAAGGUAACCGUAGGUGAACCUGCGGUUGGAUCACCUCCUUUCUA
Molecule: ribosomal RNA, 1508 nt
Filed under: Helicobacter pylori
Lineage: Bacteria; Pseudomonadati; Campylobacterota; Epsilonproteobacteria; Campylobacterales; Helicobacteraceae
Description: bacterial SSU rRNA
Rfam family: Bacterial small subunit ribosomal RNA
Source: RNAcentral